CAAACUGAUACUCUACCACAUGAUUCUAAUCACUCUUAUUCUCAACAAAUAUAAUUUUUUAAUUCAAUAUUCUAUAGGCUUUAACGUGUUUCAUUUAAUAAAUAUAAUUAUCAACACGAACUCAGUAUUAUCUAAAAUAUAGCUCAUAGAAAUAAUUUCAAUUUAAAUACUAUUAAACAAAUUUAAAAACAUAGUAAAGAAAAAAUA
Non-coding RNA from Cinara cedri, 207 nucleotides. Lineage: Eukaryota; Metazoa; Arthropoda; Insecta; Hemiptera; Aphididae. The record is from the annotation of a GenBank genome assembly.